This 406-nucleotide ribosomal RNA is filed under the name uncultured bacterium. RNAcentral describes it as "bacterial SSU rRNA". It matches the Rfam family "Bacterial small subunit ribosomal RNA", at positions 29 to 425 of the family's 1533-position model. The record is from RNAcentral.
AACGAACGCUGGCGGCGCGCCUAAUACAUGCAAGUCGAGCGAGAAGACGUAGCAAUACGUUUGUAAAGCGGCGAACGGGUGAGGAAUACAUGGGUAACCUACCCUCGAGUGGGGAAUAACUAGCCGAAAGGUUAGCUAAUACCGCGUACGCUCCUUGGACUUCGGUUCAGGGAGGAAAGCGAUACCGUGGGUAUCGCGCUCUUGGAUGGGCUCAUGUCCUAUCAGCUUGUUGGUGAGGAACGGCUCACCAAGGCUUCGACGGGUAGCUGGUCUGAGAGGACGAUCAGCCACACUGGCACUGCGACACGGGCCAGACUCCUACGGGAGGCAGCAGUAAGGAAUAUUGCGCAAUGGGCGAAAGCCUGACGCAGCGACGCCGCGUGGGGGAGUGAAGGUCUUCGGAUUG